GGGUGCCAGAGCAGGAGAAAGAUCUUAGCAGAAAACAAAAAAGAAAAAACCUUCUAUGUACUGUUUUUUUCCACCAUUGGAUUGACCAGACAGGGCCACAAAGCUGAUACAACAGGAUUAGCAAAAUUGCAUUGUUGGACAUAGGCACAGCGUGACAUGUGCUACAGCAAAGGCAUUUGGCAGGAUUAACCUGCCAGGGAUAAAGAUGUAGCAGACAAGGGGCUGAAUUAAUGGACUGGCAUGACCAAAGCGGGGAAAUCUAUUUGCAUGCGAUAUUAACUGUGCUAAUAAACUCUGGGCCGGGCUUGGCAGGCCUGGCAGUCUUUUCUGAACCAGGAGUUUUUAUGUUAAAGCCCACCUGGAAGACACCAGUCCAGAUGGGCUAAGGCAAGCAGGCUUUACAGGUUGCCUUUAGGCUUGUCUGCCAUCGUUCUAGAAUAGACAGGCUAUCUUAAAUACCUGUAGCAGCAUGUGUGCCUACUGACUGUGCAGAAUGAUUCUAAUACCUCGGAGUUUUGGUGCCAAAGGAUCCUCUAUUUACAGGGUGAUUGUCUAUGAAAAACAAUGAAGAAAGCUAAGCACAACACACUCUGGAAAAUAUCUACUCGGAAGGGGUGGUUCUGCCUGAUUUGUGUUUUCUGAUUCCCUGAAAGUCAGAGUGAGACCAGGGUGAGCAAGCAGUACCACCCAGGAUAACAUUUCAGAGGUCCUCAUGGGACCAGCAUCUGACAGUGAGUGCUCACUCCCUUCCCCUAGUCCUGCUGAAAGUGAUCAUGGGAACAUUGUACGAUCUAUCCAUUCAAAAUUGGGGUGCACUUAAAUACACGAACACAGUCACGAAUGCACAGGUGAGUGUUGGGAGAUGGGGCUGGGAAGUGCUGUGAGAGGCUGGGCAGAUGAGAGGGGAGGGAACCAAUAACGAUGGGGCGAUAGGUCGGUGGGGACCUCUGCCAACCCUUGGGGGACAAGAGAGCAGGUAUUUGUCUACCAGCUCCUGUGCAUCACUCAUGAGGGAUGUGAACUUCCUUUCAUCCAACAGGCUGACCACACUCCUGCUCCUGUUCCUGACCCAAGGAAGCCCCCAUGCAGAGCACCCCUGUCCUCUCUGAAUGGGACCAGCAGCUGGAUACUGAGUACCAAUAGCGUCUGCCCUGAUUUCCUUUGAGGAUGGAGAGCAGAGCCAAGCUGCAGGGCCUGGUGUUCCAGCUGCUGUGCAGCCCUGGGCUGCCAGGGCACUCCGUGAUGGCCUUUGUCUUUAGCAUCACCAUCUCCUAAGACACAUAGAAGAGUGGGACAGUAACAGAAGGACACAAAAGAUACCGAAUCCGAGGAAGGCCCUGAAGGUCCAGUAACUUGCCUUAGGGACACAGGUGAAUCUUAGGAAGAGCCCUGGAGGGCAGCUGCCAGCCGAAGGGCAGGGCGGGGCGCUGUUUUCACCAUGACCACCUGAUCUCUUCUCGGCUCUGCUUGGUGUGCACGACUGCUCCACUCGUCCGCGUUAACUCUCAUGAUGUGUUUGGGAUGCGCUCCCCCUCUUUGUAGGACUGAGUCAGGGAGAUGUUCUCCCUCCUCGGAGGAUUCCAUUCUGAGCC
Molecule: long non-coding RNA, 1592 nt
Filed under: Sus scrofa (pig)
Lineage: Eukaryota; Metazoa; Chordata; Mammalia; Artiodactyla; Suidae
Description: lncRNA (ENSSSCG00065037627.1)
Source: RNAcentral